RNAcentral lists this transfer RNA (98 nucleotides) under Duganella phyllosphaerae. RNAcentral's name for it is "tRNA-Thr". The record is from RNAcentral. Lineage: Bacteria; Pseudomonadati; Pseudomonadota; Betaproteobacteria; Burkholderiales; Oxalobacteraceae.
GGUGGCUGUAGUCGGCGCGGUUGCCGUUGGGGUUCUUGUGCUGCUCGAACCAGUUGAUCAGGUCGUGGUAACGGCCGUUCGGAUUCUGCCAGCCUUCG